AACGCUAGCUACAGGCUUAACACAUGCAAGUCGAGGGGCAGCAUGAACUUAGCUUGCUAAGUUUGAUGGCGACCGGCGCACGGGUGAGUAACGCGUAUCCAACCUUCCGUACACUCAGGAAUAGCCUUUCGAAAGAAAGAUUAAUACCUGAUGGUAUGAUGAGAUUGCAUGAAAUCAUCAUUAAAGAUUCAUCGGUGUACGAUGGGGAUGCGUUCCAUUAGAUAGUAGGCGGGGUAACGGCCCACCUAGUCGACGAUGGAUAGGGGUUCUGAGAGGAAGGUCCCCCACAUUGGAACUGAGACACGGUCCAAACUCCUACGGGAGGCAGCAGUGAGGAAUAUUGGUCAAUGGGCGCGAGCCUGAACCAGCCAAGUAGCGUGAAGGAUGAAGGUCCUACGGAUUGUAAACUUCUUUUAUAAGGGAAUAAAGUCACCCACGUGUGGGUGUUUGUAUGUACCUUAUGAAUAAGCAUCGGCUAACUCCGUGCCAGCAGCCGCGGUAAUACGGAGGAUGCGAGCGUUAUCCGGAUUUAUUGGGUUUAAAGGGAGCGUAGACGGGUCGUUAAGUCAGCUGUGAAAGUUUGAGGCUCAACCUUAAAAUUGCAGUUGAUACUGGCGUCCUUGAGUACGGUUGAGGCAGGCGGAAUUCGUGGUGUAGCGGUGAAAUGCUUAGAUAUCACGAAGAACUCCGAUUG
This 694-nucleotide ribosomal RNA is filed under the name uncultured bacterium. Its description in RNAcentral is "bacterial SSU rRNA". It matches the Rfam family "Bacterial small subunit ribosomal RNA", at positions 32 to 715 of the family's 1533-position model. The record is from RNAcentral.